This 301-nucleotide ribosomal RNA is filed under the name uncultured bacterium. Its description in RNAcentral is "partial 16S ribosomal RNA". It matches the Rfam family "Bacterial small subunit ribosomal RNA", at positions 509 to 807 of the family's 1533-position model. The record is from RNAcentral.
CAGCAGCCGCGGGAAUACGUAGGGUGCAAGCGUUAAUCGGAAUUACUGGGCGUAAAGCGUGCGCAGGCGGCCAUGCAAGACAGAUGUGAAAUCCCCGGGCUCAACCUGGGAACUGCAUUUGUGACUGCAUGGCUAGAGUAUGGCAGAGGGGGGUGGAAUUCCGCGUGUAGCAGUGAAAUGCGUAGAUAUGCGGAGGAACACCGAUGGCGAAGGCAGCCCCCUGGGCUAAUACUGACGCUCAUGCACGAAAGCGUGGGGAGCAAACAGGAUUAGAUACCCCUGUAGUCCCUGUCUCUUAUAC